Small nuclear RNA from Microtus ochrogaster (prairie vole), 104 nucleotides. NCBI's taxonomy places the organism in Eukaryota, Metazoa, Chordata, Mammalia, Rodentia, Cricetidae. The record is from Ensembl.
UUGCUUCAGCAGCACAUAUACUAAAAACUGGAAUAAUAUAGAAGAUAUUAGCAUGGCCUCUGCGCAAGUAUUACACGCAAAUUUGUGAAGGAUUCCGUAUUUAA